UCGCCUGUUUUUCCAAAAACAUUUCUUAUAGAAAUAAUUAUAAGUAAAACCUGCUCCAUGAAAUAUUAAAUAGCCGCAGAAUUUUACUGUGCUAAGGUAGCAUAAUCAUUUGUUUCUUAAUUAGAAACUAGAAUGAAAGGUUUAAUAUUUUAUUUCUAUUAUUAUUUAAUUAUUUUUAAUUUAUACUAAAUGUAAAAAUACAUUUAUAAAAAUAAAAGACGACAAGACCCUAUCGAACUUAACUAUUAGUUUUGCUGGGGAAGCAUAUUAAUUAAAACUUUAAUAUUUUAAAAUUCAAAAUGACCCAAUAUAUUAAUUGAAUCAAUGAACAAGUUACCGUAGGGAUAACAGCGUAAUUUUUAUUUAUAGUUCUUAUAAAAAUAAAAGCUUACGACCUCGAUGUUGAAUUAAUUUACCUAUUUUAAGCAAUAUUAAAAUUAGGAGGUCUGUUCGACCUUUAAUAAAUUACAUGAUCUGUUUCAAAACCCG
RNAcentral lists this ribosomal RNA (489 nucleotides) under Steatoda cingulata. RNAcentral's name for it is "partial 16S ribosomal RNA". Lineage: Eukaryota; Metazoa; Arthropoda; Arachnida; Araneae; Theridiidae. The record is from RNAcentral.